Pieris napi is the source of this 1186-nucleotide long non-coding RNA. RefSeq lists it as uncharacterized. NCBI's taxonomy places the organism in Eukaryota, Metazoa, Arthropoda, Insecta, Lepidoptera, Pieridae. The transcript is spliced from 2 exons. The record is from RefSeq and is a predicted model, not a curated record.
UUGAUAAGCAUGCUAUCGCUUAUCAAUGUGCGGUCAGUGUCAACAAGUGCUUGGCAAAAUUGAAAUGAAAGUUAUUCGAUCAUAUUUUGGUUCCCUCUGUGUGUACUGACACAAAACAAACGAGUGGUCCUUGUAUAGGGUUCGGCACACUUUUUAUUGCCAGACUGCAGCGCAGCUGUGUUAUACAUAUUUGGCGACCGGAUGCACAUUCGCUGAAGUGCAUUACACAUUUCGAAUUGGUGCGAGUACAAUAGCUGAAUUUGUUCGUGAAUUAUUUGGCAAUAUGGUUGCUGUUGAAAGAAUCUUGUUUAUCGAAGCCGUCUCAACAAGGAUGGCUAGAUAUUGCAAAGGGUUUCUCAACAAGAGCUAAUUUUCCGUAUUGCAUUGGGGCUAUAGAUGGAAAACACAUACGGGUAAUAAAACCGUGUCAUAGUGGAUCCAUGUACUACAAUUAUAAGCAGUUUUUUUUCCAUUAUACUGAUGGCUAUAUGCGACAGCAAUUACAAAUUCAUAACAAUAGAUGUCGGCGCUUGUGGCAAAUUUAGAGACUCAACAGUUUAUCAACACUCUAACUUUUACAAAAAAAUGAUAGCUGGAGAACUUGAGAUACCAGAACCAACACCCAUAUAACAAGUAAAUACUAUUCCAAUACCAUAUGUUUUAGUAGGCGAUGAGGCGUUUCCCUUAUCCACGUACUUAAUGCGACCUUAUGCAAAACCAAAAAAUACUAAUUUAAAUACUACUAAGAGAAUAUUUAACUAUCGGCAAUGUAGGGCACGGCGAUAUAUCGAAUGCUCGUUUGGAAUACUGAGCAAUAAGUGGCGUAUAUUCCAUAGACCUUUAAAUGUGGAUAUUAGCUUGGCUACUGAUAUCAUCAAAGCAUGUUGCAUUUUGCUUAACUACGUUCGAGAUAGAGACGGUUAUAACUAUGAAGAUACUUUAAAAUGUUAUAUGCCGCCUGAUGUACCAGAAACUCAGAGAACAUGUAAUCGAAUAGGUAAUAAUACCGCUGAAAGAAUUCGUGACUCUUUCGCUCAGUAUUUUGAACACGAAGGAAAACUGGAAUGGCAAGAUAAAUAUAUAUAUGUAAAUAUAAUGCGCAUUGAUCCGCAAAUCGCAGGAAAUUAGGAAUAAAAAGUAUGAUGAUUGUAUCCUUUAAACCAUGAUAAAUAAAUAACGUAACUUA